GUAUGGUGCAAGCGUUAUCCGGAUUUACUGGGUGUAAAGGGAGCGCAGGCGGUGCGGCAAGUCUGAUGUGAAAGCCCGGGGCUCAACCCCGGUACUGCAUUGGAAACUGUCGUACUAGAGUGUCGGAGGGGUAAGCGGAAUUCCUAGUGUAGCGGUGAAAUGCGUAGAUAUUAGGAGGAACACCAGUGGCGAAGGCGGCUUACUGGACGAUAACUGGCGCUGAGGCUCGAAAGCGUGGGGAGCAAACAGGAUUAGAUACCCUGGUAGUCCACGCCGUAAACGAUGAGUACUAGGUGUUGGGAAGCAUUGCUUCUCGGUGCCGUCGCAAACGCAGUAAGUAUUCCACCUGGGGAGUACGUUCGCAAGAAUG
This 370-nucleotide ribosomal RNA is filed under the name uncultured bacterium. RNAcentral's name for it is "bacterial SSU rRNA". It matches the Rfam family "Bacterial small subunit ribosomal RNA", at positions 527 to 896 of the family's 1533-position model. The record is from RNAcentral.